RNAcentral lists this ribosomal RNA (324 nucleotides) under uncultured prokaryote. RNAcentral's name for it is "bacterial SSU rRNA". It matches the Rfam family "Bacterial small subunit ribosomal RNA", at positions 26 to 352 of the family's 1533-position model. The record is from RNAcentral.
AGAUUGAACGCUAGCGGCAUGCCUAACACAUGCAAGUCGAACGGUAACAGGCCCUUCGGGGUGCUGACGAGUGGCGGACGGGUGAGUAAUGCAUCGGAACGUAUCCUUGAGUGGGGGAUAACGCAGCGAAAGUUGUGCUAAUACCGCAUAAGCUCUGAGGAGGAAAGCGGGGGAUCGUAAGACCUCGCGCUGGUGGAUGAGCCUACGUCCGAUUAGUUAGUUGGUGGGGUAAAGGCCUACCAAGGCUACGAUCGGUAGCUGGUCUGAGAGGACGAUCAGCCACACUGGGACUGAGACACGGCCCAGACUCCUACGGGCGGCAGC